UGGCUCAGGAUGAACGCUGGCGGCGUGCCUAAUACAUGCAAGUCGAGCGAACAGACGAGAAGCUUGCUUCUCUGAUGUUAGCGGCGGACGGGUGAGUAACACGUGGAUAACCUACCUAUAAGACUGGGAUAACUUCGGGAAACCGGAGCUAAUACCGGAUAAUAUUUUGAACCGCAUGGUUCAAAAGUGAAAGACGGUCUUGCUGUCACUUAUAGAUGGAUCCGCGCUGCAUUAGCUAGUUGGUAAGGUAACGGCUUACCAAGGCAACGAUGCAUAGCCGACCUGAGAGGGUGAUCGGCCACACUGGAACUGAGACACGGUCCAGACUCCUACGGGAGGCAGCAGUAGGGAAUCUUCCGCAAUGGGCGAAAGCCUGACGGAGCAACGCCGCGUGAGUGAUGAAGGUCUUCGGAUCGUAAAACUCUGUUAUUAGGGAAGAACAUAUGUGUAAGUAACUGUGCACAUCUUGACGGUACCUAAUCAGAAAGCCACGGCUAACUACGUGCCAGCAGCCGCGGUAAUACGUAGGUGGCAAGCGUUAUCCGGAAUUAUUGGGCGUAAAGCGCGCGUAGGCGGUUUUUUAAGUCUGAUGUGAAAGCCCACGGCUCAACCGUGGAGGGUCAUUGGAAACUGGAAAACUUGAGUGCAGAAGAGGAAAGUGGAAUUCCAUGUGUAGCGGUGAAAUGCGCAGAGAUAUGGAGGAACACCAGUGGCGAAGGCGACUUUCUGGUCUGUAACUGACGCUGAUGUGCGAAAGCGUGGGGAUCAAACAGGAUUAGAUACCCUGGUAGUCCACGCCGUAAACGAUGAGUGCUAAGUGUUAGGGGGUUUCCGCCCCUUAGUGCUGCAGCUAACGCAUUAAGCACUCCGCCUGGGGAGUACGACCGCAAGGUUGAAACUCAAAGGAAUUGACGGGGACCCGCACAAGCGGUGGAGCAUGUGGUUUAAUUCGAAGCAACGCGAAGAACCUUACCAAAUCUUGACAUCCUUUGACAACUCUAGAGAUAGAGCUUUCCCCUUCGGGGGACAAAGUGACAGGUGGUGCAUGGUUGUCGUCAGCUCGUGUCGUGAGAUGUUGGGUUAAGUCCCGCAACGAGCGCAACCCUUAAGCUUAGUUGCCAUCAUUAAGUUGGGCACUCUAAGUUGACUGCCGGUGACAAACCGGAGGAAGGUGGGGAUGACGUCAAAUCAUCAUGCCCCUUAUGAUUUGGGCUACACACGUGCUACAAUGGACAAUACAAAGGGCAGCGAAACCGCGAGGUCAAGCAAAUCCCAUAAAGUUGUUCUCAGUUCGGAUUGUAGUCUGCAACUCGACUACAUGAAGCUGGAAUCGCUAGUAAUCGUAGAUCAGCAUGCUACGGUGAAUACGUUCCCGGGUCUUGUACACACCGCCCGUCACACCACGAGAGUUUGUAACACCCGAAGCCGGUGGAGUAACCUUUUAGGAGCUAGCCGUCGAAGGUGGGACAAAUGAUUGGGGGUGAAGUCGUAACA
Molecule: ribosomal RNA, 1494 nt
Filed under: Staphylococcus aureus
Lineage: Bacteria; Bacillati; Bacillota; Bacilli; Caryophanales; Staphylococcaceae
Description: partial 16S ribosomal RNA
Rfam family: Bacterial small subunit ribosomal RNA
Source: RNAcentral